Molecule: long non-coding RNA, 426 nt
Organism: Gigantopelta aegis
Lineage: Eukaryota; Metazoa; Mollusca; Gastropoda; Neomphalida; Peltospiridae
Exons: 3
Source: RefSeq, a predicted model, not a curated record
AGGUCAGUGGUGGGUUGGCCUACCCUGUCUUUAAAAGACUCAAGACUCCACUGUGAUACACUGUGUUACGCUGUGUUACACUGUACUGGUUUGUGUUUGUGCCUAGAAGAAGAAGUGGUUGGAGAGGAACACUAGCAGAGUGCUUACUGCAAGUGAUCAAACAGAACUUGUGAAGUUUGAAUAUAACAUUGCAGACAUAACAACAGUAUGCCCCGACAUCAUCUGUUCAUCCCCUUCUCCACGGGAAGGAGUUACAACACGACUAUUGGCUCCCGUUCCCGCCACCAUGCUGAUCCUUUCGCUCACUGCCGUCGACCACGGUACAGCUACAACGAUCUGCUACGAAACUCUGUCUUGUGUAUGAAUAUGGUGGUCGCGAUGAGGAUGACGGCUAUGACAGAACGUAUGCACGCGACAGAAACACUC